AUUGGUUUGUAUGUCAUUUUUUUAUUAAAAAAAAAUUAGUUGAAAUUUUUUUAGUAUAUUGUAGAAAUAAUUUUUCUUAUGUUUACUGUAUAGGAAUUUUAAACUAUUUUUUUAAAGAAUUUUAUUAGUACCUUUUGUAUCAGGGUGAAUUAAAUAAUUUAGGUAACUUUUUCUCCCGAAUAAAGAAGAUCAAAUAUCUUAAUAAAUUUUAAUUGUAGAAUAAAUUUUACUAAUAAGAUAUUAGUAAUUAAAUGUUAAUCGAUUUUUAUAUAUCUGGUUACUGAGGAAAUUAAUUUAAUUAAGCACCAUUAAAAAUGUAAAAUUUGAAUAUUUAUGGUGUAAAUUUAUUAGGGAUAAUCUUAAUAAAUUUACUAAAAUUCAUGCAUGAUGAAGUAUACUACCUUUGAAAUUAAGAAUUUAGUUUUUAAUAAAAUUUCUUCUUUAAAUUUUAUUUUUUAAUAUUUAGUUUUUUACUCAGUUUUUUUAAUUAAUUGAGAUUUUUUAUCAAUAAUGAUUCAAUUAGUAUAAUUAAUAGAUUAAAUAUUAUGAACUCGACAAUUCUUAUUUCCAACUGUUUAACAAAAACAUUUCCUUUAGUUUUUAUUAAAGGUAUAUCCUGCCCUAUGGAUUUUCUAAAUGGCUGCAGUAUUUUGACUGUACAAAGGUAGCAUAGUAAUUAGUUUCUUAAUUAGGAACUUGUAUGAAUGGAUUUAUGAGAUAUAUGUUUUAUUUAUUUAAAUAUUAAAAUUUUAAUUUUAGGUUAAAAUGCCUAAUAGAUUUCUUGGGACGAUAAGACCCUAUAGAACUUUAUAUUUAUAUAAAAAAUUUCUUUUAAAUUUUUAUAUUAAAUUUUUUGUUUAAAUAUUUUGCUGGGGUGGUUAGUAAAUUUUAACUUUACUUUGAUUUUUCAUAAAUAUAUGUUAUUUUUGAUCCUUUACAAGAUUAUAAGAACAAGUUACCUUAGGGAUAACAGCGUAAUUUUAGUGGGGAGUUCAUAUCUAUACUAAUUUUGCGACCUCGAUGUUGAAUUAAGAAAAAUCUAAGAAGCAGAACUCUUAGUUUUAAGUCUGUUCGACUUUUAAAUUCUUACAUGAUUUGAGUUCAAACCGGCGUGAGCCAGGUUGGUUUCUAUCUUAGAAUGUUAGGUAAGUUAUUUAGUACGAAAGGACCAAUAACUGAUACUUAUUUGUAUUUUACAUUUAAUA
This 1205-nucleotide ribosomal RNA is filed under the name Doratura homophyla. Its description in RNAcentral is "large subunit ribosomal RNA". The record is from RNAcentral. Lineage: Eukaryota; Metazoa; Arthropoda; Insecta; Hemiptera; Cicadellidae.